AGAAGGACAUAGGCUAGUGCCGCCCACGCUUCCCAAAGCCCGGGCGGCUGGGGCCUGAGCAUUUCUUCAAAGACCUUCCGCGCAUGGAGUCGACCUUGGGGGGAAACCCAGGCGGAGACCAGCAGUGAGUGUGCACGUUAUAAAAGAAAUAAGUGCCCAUCUUCACCUUCCGUGUACACCCUCCCCAGCGGGGUCUCUUUCAGUGACACUCUCCAUCCCCGUUACUUCUCGUGAAUUACGUCGCUUCCCUGGGGCUGCCUUACUGCAAAGCUGUACAUUAAUUACCACAUUACACACGAAGCCCCCAGGGAAAGGAAUGCCAAGCAUAAAUCUGGUUUUUGUUCUUUUUUUAAUGUUGAACAUGAUUAAGUUUGCGAUUAAUCAAGUCUUUCCACCAGCAUCUAGGAAGAGACCCAAGACUGCGACUCGCUGGGAGAUGAACGGGCGCACUUAGCAGCGUUACGUCAUAGUGGCUCAGUGACCGCACAGAGUGAGUCACUGGUGGGAUUCAGAACAACCGACAUUCAUCGCUGUGGUGACUGACACCUCAAAGCAUCUGAAAUGGCUGAAAAGGAGUCUGGACACAGAGUACACGAAGACAGGUGAGGACAGGCUGAGCAGCAUUACUGGAGCUCCGCCAACACUGGGGUAAAGCCCUGGUGCCUGCGCUCCUGGUAGGACUUCUAUGUGGGUUCCCUUCCCACUUUACUUAGCCUGAUUGUGGAGCCUGGCUCAAAAUUCACAUCCUACAGAAAGCCUUCUGGGGUCCCUGCUCCUCUGGGUUCCCAUGGACUCGGGCACAUUUCUCUUGCGGCAGUGUUCACAGUGGGUGAUGCUUGUUUAUGUACCUGUUAAGCUCCUUGAGGUCAGGGGCUCUGUGCUAGUAAAGAUGCAACAAUAGUUGAGUGGCCAAGUGAAUGAGUGGCCUACAAUGUGCUUGCCAGGCAUGUACACUGUCCUCUUUUGACAACUAUCUGUCCCUUCCAAAACCUCAUUUUGAAGGGUUUUCAAUGCGUAGUUGUUAUGCUUUGUACCUUAUGACUCUACCAGUGUUGCCCUAACUGCUUAGACCAAUUGCUGACCCAAACAUUGACAUCUACAGGCUCUAUUCUAGGCUGUGGUUGCCCUACCUGAUUGUCCCCUCCUGUCUUGGUUUGAUUCAGUGGGAGGCACACAGUUACAAAGUAAAGAGG
Miniopterus natalensis is the source of this 1193-nucleotide non-coding RNA. NCBI's taxonomy places the organism in Eukaryota, Metazoa, Chordata, Mammalia, Chiroptera, Miniopteridae. The record is from RefSeq and is a predicted model, not a curated record.